CUUUUUUUUUUUUUUCCUCCCUUUUUCAAAGAAGAGGAUCUUAAAGAAAAAAAAACCUCUGGAUUUUUUUUUUCUCCCUCCGCUUCCCCCUCUCCCCCCUCCCCUCGAUGUGGCCUCUUGUUUAGCUUGUGGCGUGACCGUGAUGAAGAAAUGUUUCAGGGCGCCUGGCAGGGUGAUCUUUUUAUGUAAUGAGUCAGGAUUUUGCCAACGGAAGGAGCCGGCUCGGAGCGAGGACCGGAGGGGCUGUCUCCUUUCAAGAACGCGGACCUGCCCGGCGAGCGGCUCGCUGCGCUCGGGAUCUCCGCUCGCUGCGGGCGUGGAUCCAUCCCCGGCCGGGGGGGCCCCGCCAGGGGCACUGACAAGCGGUAUUUUUAAAGCUGAGUUGUUCAGCCCAUUUCCUGUGAUGAAGAAAUCCUUCCUAAUUUUGAGUUAUGGAUAGUGGCAUCAUUCAUAUAGAGGCAGAGAAUAAAAUGACUUAAGAUAAUGCAUAUGUAUAUGCACAGGAUUCUCACCACAUCCCACCACUGGUUAUGGAUUCCAAAAGCAACCGAGGUAAUUCUUUCUUCAGAACAAAGAAUGCAGCAUGUUAUUUUUAUGUACCACCAGAAAAAAAAACUGAUAAAGAGGAAAUGAAGCAGGGGAACAGAAAAACAAAGUAAGAAACGAAAUCCAAGUUUCUAAUGCAGCGAUGUAAUGCCAAGAAACAACUCCAGAGAAACUGAUUAACUGCCAGCUUUUCUACCUGUUGCCAAGAAAACGUUGCUGUGUUCACUGAUCCUGUAAUUAAACUGAGUAUGUUCUGAAACAACUUCUGAAUUGUGCCAUCUUCUGUGAAGGGGGAGGGAGCUUCAUUCCCAUAAUAUACCAAUAGAAAGAUGCUUCUUCUCUAAAAACUAGGUAGAAGGGCAAGCUUGGUUUAUUCAUGUACACACAUUCUUUAAAGAAAAAAAAAUUAACAUUUGGAAGGAGCAAUCUUAUUGCCUAUGGACUU
Myiozetetes cayanensis is the source of this 991-nucleotide long non-coding RNA. RefSeq lists it as uncharacterized. Lineage: Eukaryota; Metazoa; Chordata; Aves; Passeriformes; Tyrannidae. The record is from RefSeq and is a predicted model, not a curated record. The transcript has 3 exons.